CAUUAGAAGACAUUAGAAGAACAGGUGAGAGUUUAGCCAUUAGAAGAACAGGUGAGAGUUUAGCCAUUAGAAGAACAGGUGAGAGUUUAGCCAUUAGAAGAACAGGUGAGAGUUUAACCAUUAAGAGGAACAGGUGAGAGUUUAGCCAUUAGAAGAACAGGUGAGAGUUUAGCCAUUAAGAAGAACAGGUGAGAGUUUAGCCAUUAGAAGAACAGGUGAGAGUUUAGCCAUUAGAAGAACAGGUGAGAGUUUAGCCAUUAGAAGAACAGGUGAGAGUUUAGCCAUUAAGAAGAACAGGUGAGAGUUUAGCCAUUAGAAGAACAGGUGAGAGUUUAGCCAUUAGAAGAACAGGUGAGAGUUUAGCCAUUAGAAGAACAGGUGAGAGUUUAGCCAUUAGAAGAACAGGUGAGAGUUUAGCCAUUAGAAGACAUUAGAAGAACAGGUGAGAGUUUAGCCAUUAGAAGACAUUAGAAGAACAGGUGAGAGUUUAGCCAUUAGAAGAACAGGUGAGAGUUUAGCCAUUAGAAGAACAGGUGAGAGUUUAGCCAUUAGAAGAACAGGUGAGAGUUUAGCCAUUAGAAGAACAGGUGAGAGUUUAGCCAUUAGAAGAACAGGUGAGAGUUUAGCCAUUAAGAAGAACAGGUGAGAGUUUAACCAUUAGAAGAACAGGUGAGAGUUUAGCCAUUAAGAAGAACAGGUGAGAGUUUAGCCAUUAGAAGAACAGGUGAGAGUUUAGCCAUUAGAAGAACAGGUGAGAGUUUAGCCAUUAGAAGAACAGGUGAGAGUUUAGCCAUUAAGAAGAACAGGUGAGAGUUUAGCCAUUAGAAGAACAGGUGAGAGUUUAGCCAUUAAGAAGAACAGGUGAGAGUUUAGCCAUUAGAAGAACAGGUGAGAGUUUAGCCAUUAGAAGAACAGGUGAGAGUUUAGCCAUUAAGAAGAACAGGUGAGAGUUUAGCCAUUAAGAAGAACAGGUGAGAGUUUAGCCAUUAGAAGAACAGGUGAGAGUUUAGCCAUUAGAAGAACAGGUGAGAGUUUAGCCAUUAGAAGAACAGGUGAGAGUUUAGCCAUUAGAAGAACAGGUGAGAGUUUAGCCAUUAGAAGAACAGGUGAGAGUUUAGCCAUUAGAAGAACAGGUGAGAGUUUAGCCAUUAGAAGACAUUAGAAGAACAGGUGAGAGUUUAGCCAUUAGAAGAACAGGUGAGAGUUUAGCCAUUAGAAGACAUUAGAAGAACAGGUGAGAGUUUAGCCAUUAGAAGAACAGGUGAGAGUUUAGCCAUUAGAAGAACAGGUGAGAGUUUAGCCAUUAGAAGAACAGGUGAGAGUUUAGCCAUUAGAAGAACAGGUGAGAGUUUAGCCAUUAGAAGAACAGGUGAGAGUUUAGCCAUUAGAAGAACAGGUGAGAGUUUAGCCAUUAGAAGAACAGGUGAGAGUUUAGCCAUUAGAAGAACAGGUGAGAGUUUAGCCAUUAGAAGAACAGGUGAGAGUUUAGCCAUUAGAAGAACAGGUGAGAGUUUAGCCAUUAGAAUAACAGGUGAGAGUUUAGCCAUUAGAAUAACAGGUGAGAGUUUAGCCAUUAGAAGAACAGGUGAGAGUUUAGCCAUUAGAAGAACAGGUGAGAGUUUAGCCGUUAGAAGAACAGGUGAGAGUUUAGCCAUUAGAAGAACAGGUGAGAGU
Molecule: long non-coding RNA, 1674 nt
Organism: Oncorhynchus keta (chum salmon)
Lineage: Eukaryota; Metazoa; Chordata; Actinopteri; Salmoniformes; Salmonidae
Exons: 5
Source: RefSeq, a predicted model, not a curated record